Molecule: non-coding RNA, 98 nt
Organism: Pelobates cultripes (western spadefoot toad)
Lineage: Eukaryota; Metazoa; Chordata; Amphibia; Anura; Pelobatidae
Source: the annotation of a GenBank genome assembly
UGUGUAUAAUGCACACUACACAAACACACUGCAUUAUAUACACAGUGUGUUUGUGUAGUGUUUAUAUACAGUGUGUUUGUGUAGUGUGCAUUAUAUAC